Rhagoletis pomonella (apple maggot) is the source of this 1849-nucleotide long non-coding RNA. RefSeq lists it as uncharacterized. The record is from RefSeq and is a predicted model, not a curated record. The transcript has 2 exons. NCBI's taxonomy places the organism in Eukaryota, Metazoa, Arthropoda, Insecta, Diptera, Tephritidae.
GCUUGCUGUUGUCAGUUGGCCAACGGCGGCGGUGAGAUUGACGAGAGCGAGAGUUUCCAAAAAAUUAUUGCCAAAAAUAUGCCAACAACGUAAAUCAACAACAAAAUAAAGCUUCAAAAGUAUACUAAGUGGUAUGCGUAAGAAGCACUCAUGUGGCGCAUAUAUGGGUGCAUGUGUACAAACAUGCAGAUACAUAUGUCAACAGCAGUGGCAAAAAUUCCAAUAAACUGCAGCCACAUCCGUGCUGGUUUACUGCUCAGUGGCGCUCAAACACAUGCCACACAUACGCACACUAUCAAACUUUACUGUUGAGCGCGCUGAGCAGCUGCUUGAAAAAUGCCAACACUCAAAAGUAGUAAAAAAAAAAACACAAAAACAUUGCCAAAAAUUUUUGAGUGCAAUUUGUACGCUUGGAGAUUGCGCUCAAAACAAACCAAGGAGCCAAGUGUCUAAAAUGCAGAAAAUGUUGUCACAGCAAGAGAACUUACUCUUUGUGGUUGACCGAGAAGUUUGGUGUCCAUUUUGACGAUUAAAUUGGUGCUACCUUCAAAGAAGUCUUCUUCCAACUUAGACGGAGUUCAUUCACAUCUUAGCUUUAGUACCACAACUACUUCGCCUUUAAACGUUUUCACAAAGUUCCAAUUAAGAAUGUCAGCGUGGAACUAUGUGAAGAGAUCUAGCCUUGACAAGCAGUGGCUAGCUGCCGUACGCAGUAGUAUAAAGUAAGCCACAUUCCUCAGGGGCAUAACUUUCGGCUGCCUGACUCGAGUCAUUGCCUGAAGAGCUGGCAGUGAGAAUUCUUUAUCUGAUGCCUCCUCCAUAUGUAUAUGUACGCAGAUACUGGCAAGAUAGUCUACGCUGUAGAGCUUUGACGGAAGCUCAACCCAUCUGCUAAGAAAUUGGCAUAGAAGCGAGCCACCUCAGUAACUGCGAAAAGACCGACAAUUAACGUUGGUGGCGAAGGAGUAAGGUUAAAGUUAGCGACGUUGCUUUCUUCAUCUGUCGAAAGUUGAAGUCCUUAUCUGGCCAUCAGCUGAUCGAUAUCUAUAAAUGAAUAUUGAAAUUGAUUGACUUGCGGUCGUGGCGAAAAAUUACUGAAGAGUCGCUCCCAAUAACUAGCUCAGGAAGUGAGUUUUAUACAUGCCGGAAAAUUUGAACGUUUGAUUUCUUUUAUAAAGUGCUGGGUAAGAUAACUUCAGCUGUAGGAUGAAACCGCUCAGGUAUGACCUCUCUCGAUUAACAAAAGUCAUGAUCCCGUCCUACUCUGAAGCGUCAAAGUUGAUAAGUAUAUAAUAUCGUUUAAGGCGGCUUCUGGACUACCAAAGCAACCUGACUCAACAUAAACGUGGCAUGCGUAAAGUGCAAACACUUUAUCAAUAAGACUUUCCCGGUGAGAGAACUGUUCCAGAGCACGGGACUUGUGGUCGACAGUGGUCAGUACUUUUUCGAGAUCAAGCCUCGGGGUUAAAAGGAAUUAAACAAGGGGUCCCAUAAGCUGUUGCUCUCUCCCUAUUGUUUUACUUCUACAGCGCGAAGCUUCCUCAGCCACCAGACGGAGAUCACUGAUCUCGUACGCUGAUGGUUGCCCGAUUUUGGCGUCCGAAGACGAUCUUUCUCGCUUCUUCACUCCAUACAAACUUACCUUCUUCAGUAUAAUAUCAGCAGCGACCCCAUGCACCAACUGGAUGAAGGAGGUCAAGCUGCAAUUAGGCAUCCACGUCAACGACGCAACGAUACUGGCUAUUGUUAGCCGGAAAAUUUUAAGGGUUACCUUUGUACCUGGCGCACACAGCCACCACAAAGCGCUCGCUGGCAGCACUUGAAGCAAAGAAAAGGAAGCAACAAUCAA